GUUUCUAUUGUACACCAAAUCUAUAUAUAACAAUAAUGAUAAUGAUGAAGUAUUUCACUUUUUAUACAAUUUAAGUUGUAAGCCCCACUGGAUUCUAAGGUCGACGGUUCGAUUCCUGUGAAUAAUACUUGUUGGGUGAGGCAAUCAUGAACCCUGAAAGGGAUUAGUUUCUUACUCAAAAAGGUGAGAGAAUAUUCAUGUUAAUACCAAAAAAACAUGCAGCUACUAUAUGAGUUUGGUACAGAUUAUUCCAUAUUGGCUCUUAGAAUCACCAUCACCAUUGCAUACAACAAGCAAUGAAGAAACAUUCACUUGACAGAUAUCUCAAACUGGAAAUUGGGUAAUCUAGGGACAGCAACAACAGGAACGUUCCAAGCAGCACUCACAAGUCUGAUAGCAACAGAAGCAGCUACAGAAUGCAAAGAAACUGAACCAAAUAGUUAAUUGAUUAGUGUGUGCUGAGUAACAAAGAGUGAAGUUUGGAGAAAUGAAAGAAAGAAAGUUGGAAACUUACAAAGCAUAGAGGGGUCCC
This 532-nucleotide long non-coding RNA is filed under the name Lupinus angustifolius (narrow-leaved blue lupine). RNAcentral describes it as "long non-coding RNA (LANG_LNC000401)". Lineage: Eukaryota; Viridiplantae; Streptophyta; Magnoliopsida; Fabales; Fabaceae. The record is from RNAcentral.